AGUCCUUCUAGAGAUUGUGGGGGAACAACAGUGCCUUCUCUCUUUCCUCACUCAGGUCUUGUUAGUCCUUUGGAGACUUAGAAAAGCUGAGGAAGAACCACCUAGUUCACCCUAUCCCCCAGGUAAUAGAACCUGACUUUAUUCACAUCUGGGUAAAAGAAGUCAAGCUUGGUAUGGGAGAAGAAGCGGAAUAUAGGUAUUGUAAAUAGACAUCUGACUAUUAGGCCCAGACUCUGACGCUCAGAGUGGGCAAAACCAGGAGCUGUCACGGAAUGGGCUCUGCGUUGGGGCCCAGUUUCAAGAAGGCCUCAGAACAACUUUGGAAGAUGAAUUGAUCCUGUUGCAUGAGCCUGGAAGCCUUGUUAAGUCACUUGACCUCCAGUCA
RNAcentral lists this long non-coding RNA (385 nucleotides) under Homo sapiens (human). Its description in RNAcentral is "HSALNT0326008". The record is from RNAcentral. Lineage: Eukaryota; Metazoa; Chordata; Mammalia; Primates; Hominidae.